GAAGAAGCAAUAGCGAAAUUUUGGCUCAGCGGACAGAAAUCUGAUACAAAGGCGCACCAAGCUGACAAGCCGGCAAAAAGCAGCAAAAUCCCAAAAGCAACAGUAACCUUGAUGCGUAAAUCAGGCAAGUAAACGAGGAAAGGA
Molecule: non-coding RNA, 144 nt
Filed under: human gut metagenome
Source: RNAcentral